RNAcentral lists this ribosomal RNA (335 nucleotides) under uncultured bacterium. RNAcentral describes it as "bacterial SSU rRNA". It matches the Rfam family "Archaeal small subunit ribosomal RNA", at positions 518 to 853 of the family's 1478-position model. The record is from RNAcentral.
UCCGUAGCUGGCCCUUCAAGUCUCUCGUUAAAUCCAGCGAUUCAAUCGUUGGACUGCGGGAGAUACUGUUAGGCUUGGGGGCGGGAGAAGCCGACGGUAUUUCCGGUGUAGGGGUAAAAUCCUAUAAUCCCGGGAGGACCACCAGUGGCGUAGGCGGUCGGCUAGCACGCGCCCGACGGUGAGGGACGAAAGCUGGGGGAGCAAACCGGAUUAGAUACCCGGAUAGUCCCAGCUGUAAACGAUGCGGGCUAGGUGUUGGAGCGGUCACGAGCCGCUUCAGUGCCGCAGGGAAGCCAUUAAGCCCGCCGCCUGGGGAGUACGGCCGCAAGGCUGAA